RNAcentral lists this ribosomal RNA (397 nucleotides) under uncultured bacterium. RNAcentral's name for it is "partial 16S ribosomal RNA". It matches the Rfam family "Bacterial small subunit ribosomal RNA", at positions 523 to 918 of the family's 1533-position model. The record is from RNAcentral.
AUACGUAGGGGGCGAGCGUUGUCCGGAAUGAUUGGGCGUAAAGGGCGCGUAGGCGGCCCGGUAAGUCUGGAGUGAAAGUCCUGUUUUUAAGAUGGGAAUUGCUUUGGAUACUGUCGGGCUUGAGUGCAGGAGAGGUAAGUGGAAUUCCCAGUGUAGCGGUGAAAUGCGUAGAGAUUGGGAGGAACACCAGUGGCGAAGGCGACUUACUGGACUGUAACUGACGCUGAGGCGCGAAAGUGUGGGGAGCAAACAGGAUUAGAUACCCUGGUAGUCCACACUGUAAACGAUGAAUGCUAGGUGUAGGGGGUAUCGACCCCUUCUGUGCCGCAGUCAACACAAUAAGCAUUCCGCCUGGGGAGUACGGCCACAAGGUUGAAACUCAAAGGAAUUGACGGGG